RNAcentral lists this ribosomal RNA (216 nucleotides) under Campeiostachys nutans. RNAcentral's name for it is "Elymus nutans partial small subunit ribosomal RNA". The stretch from base 40 to 216 matches the Rfam family "Eukaryotic small subunit ribosomal RNA", at positions 686 to 864 of the family's 1831-position model. The record is from RNAcentral. Lineage: Eukaryota; Viridiplantae; Streptophyta; Magnoliopsida; Poales; Poaceae.
GGAUCAGUAGGUUGGUCAUGCCACUGGUAUGUACUGGUCUCACUGAUUCCUCCUUCCUGAUGAGCCGUAAUGCCAUUAAUUUGGUGUUGCGGGGAAUCUGGACUGUUACUUUGAAAAAAUUAGAGUGUCUAAAGCAGGCUUUCGCCUGAAUACAUUAGCAUGGAAUAAUGAAAUAGGACGUUCGAUCCUAUUUUGUUGGUUUCUAGGAUUGACGUA